Long non-coding RNA from Lutra lutra (Eurasian river otter), 988 nucleotides. RefSeq lists it as uncharacterized. The transcript is spliced from 3 exons. The record is from RefSeq and is a predicted model, not a curated record. NCBI's taxonomy places the organism in Eukaryota, Metazoa, Chordata, Mammalia, Carnivora, Mustelidae.
CUGCAGCACAAAAGAUGUGAUGACUCUUCUUCAGUGAGUCAAGGGGUUCAGUCCCAUUAGGGGAGGGAAAGGAGAUAAGGCAGACGUCCCAUGCUGCUCUUUUGUGUAGCAACAGGAGUGUGUUUGGGUAUUGCUAUUUUGAUGACUCAGUAGUGAGUCAGUUUUAAAGUUCUGUAAAAGGCCUUGUUCAGCUCAGACAGGACUACAAUGAGCUUGUUUGAUAGCUCAUUGGGUAGAGAGGACUGAGUUGUGUGUGAUCCAAUCAGCUGAUUGGUGGUGUAAAUAUGUAGUCGAAAAAACAUAUCAGCAAGGGUGAAACUAUUUCUGAAUGCAGAAAUCAACUGUCCUUGGCAGUCACCUGUUGAGUGCCUGCUGUGUUCAAGCACCAUCCAUGUUCUACCCAUUCCCCAUUACCUUUAUGAAGAUUAGAAUAUGAGAAUUGUGUUAAGUGCUACAAAGAUCUAGGGUGCUUGAAGGAGCUGGGAAAGCCCAUGGUUGGCUUACAUAGAGCGCAAUGGAAGGUGACGGCAGGAGAACACAGACUUGCAGAAGAGCGCGCGGUAGCCCUGUCGUCCUGUGGUCCAGAGCACGAAGCUAGUAGCAUCAGAUGGCUGUAGUUCUGCCUCUUUCCUCAGCUCUAGUCAGUCAGCACUCUCUUGCCUCCGAUGUACGGCCGUCCGUAGCUCAUGCUCCAGAAGGGGAAAUGUCACACUGGAAUAUACAGUGCAAAUAAAACUUCUAUUUUCUGAAUCUGCUCUUCCAAAAUUAGAGCAUUUUUUUGUUUUUCUCUGGCCCUUUUUUCCUCCUUGGUGUUAAAACUAGAGUUAUGUACCUUUCUGUUCCUGUUAAUGUAUAGCCUCAUUUAGAUAUGUAUUUUCAAAAUCCAUAAUUCUCCAGUCAAAAACUAAGCAGGUGGAUCCUGUUCUCUUCAUCUCUCACAGGGAGGAGAGAAGGGCAGAUACACAGCAUGAUCAAAACAGAGCCCUAG